The sequence is a non-coding RNA, 266 nucleotides long. It matches the Rfam family "Bacterial large signal recognition particle RNA". From Rfam's summary of the family: The signal recognition particle (SRP) is a universally conserved ribonucleoprotein involved in the co-translational targeting of proteins to membranes. Archaeal SRP consists of a 7S RNA and homologues of the eukaryotic SRP19 and SRP54 proteins. In most bacteria, the SRP consists of a 4.5S RNA and the Ffh protein (a homologue of the eukaryotic SRP54 protein). The record is from Rfam.
CCAUGCUAAGCGGGGAGGUAGCGGUGCCCUGUACUCGCAAUCCGCUAUAGCGAGGCCGAACCCCUUCUCGAGGUUUUAGUAUUGUAAGGUCUGACCUAAGUAAGUGGUGUUGACGAUUGGGUUCUACGCAACGGAAACCUGUGAACCCUGUCAGGUCCGGAAGGAAGCAGCAGUAAGCAGUCAUUUCCGUGUGCCGUAGAGUCGCCUGAUCCGAGCUAACUGCUUAGGUAACGCUUAUGAUACUAUUAUCGACAGAAGGUGCAUGG